CAACCCUCAGGCCCCUAGCUGGUCUGGCGUUGGGGCAUCUGCGGCCCGCAGGCCCUGAAAGACAGUGGCGGUACCCACUAGCACCCCGGGCGCAGUAGAUGUAUUUCUCGCCUAGGAUGUCUAGCGGGUUGGCCGGCCAUAAAACUCCCUAAUCUUCGGAA
This 161-nucleotide unclassified non-coding RNA is filed under the name uncultured Sordariales. Its description in RNAcentral is "sequence contains ITS2". The record is from RNAcentral. Lineage: Eukaryota; Fungi; Ascomycota; Sordariomycetes; Sordariales.